Molecule: ribosomal RNA, 533 nt
Filed under: Acalles almeriaensis
Lineage: Eukaryota; Metazoa; Arthropoda; Insecta; Coleoptera; Curculionidae
Description: partial 16S ribosomal RNA
Rfam family: Bacterial large subunit ribosomal RNA
Source: RNAcentral
GGCCUUUUGAGUAUAAUUUAAGGUCGGGCCUGCCCAAUGAUUAAUUAAAUGGCCGCGGUAUAUUGACCGUGCAAAGGUAGCAUAAUCAUUAGUUUUUUAAUUGAAAGCUUGUAUGAAGGGUUUAAUGAAAAAAAUACUGUCUCUAUUUAAAUUUAUUAAAAUUUUAUAUUUAAGUUAAAAAGCUUAAAUUUGUAUUGAAGACGAGAAGACCCUAUAGAGUUUAAUAUUUCAUAUGAAAAUAAAGUAUUAAGGAUUUUAAAUAAUUUUUAUAUAAAGUAUUUAAUUGGGGUGAUUGAAAAAUUAGUUUAACUUUUUUUGUAUUUUUAUAUUGAUUAAUAAAUUUGAGAUCCUUUUUAAGAUUAAAAGAUAAAAUUACCUUAGGGAUAACAGCGUAAUUUUUUUUAGAGUUCUUAUCGAAAGAAAAGAUUGCGACCUCGAUGUUGGAUUAAAAUUAAUCAUUGGUGUAGAAGCUAAUGAACUAGGUCUGUUCGACCUUUAAAUUUUUACAUGAUCUGAGUUUAAACCGGUGUAAG